GAAAUGCGAUACGUGAUGUGAAUUGCAUACUCGUGAAUCAUCGAAUCUUUGAACGCAAAUGGCGCUCGGCCGCUUCGGUGUGCCGAGCAUGUCUGUUUGAGGGUCAGUUUUACCUGCUUCUGCUUCUAAUUUUGUUAUUAGUAGUAGAGACGAUGCGUGUUCAGUUUUUCUCACGAAUAGCUGAUCAUGUGAAAUGAAAGUAAUUCUAGCUCAAUUUAUUUUGACUAGAAUGAAUUGGGAUUAUGUUGGAACGUUCCAGGGUCCCGACCUCAUAUAUAAACGGGACUCAGAGGAAGCAUCCAGCAACCUCCCAUUAAUAACAUUUAUUAUUAAAAUGACCUCAAAUCAGGCAAGAGCACCCGCUGAACUUAA
Molecule: unclassified non-coding RNA, 372 nt
Filed under: uncultured Diversispora
Lineage: Eukaryota; Fungi; Glomeromycota; Glomeromycetes; Diversisporales; Diversisporaceae
Description: sequence contains ITS1
Rfam family: 5.8S ribosomal RNA (bases 1-106)
Source: RNAcentral